GUGCCAGCCGCCGCGGUAAUACGUAGGGGGCAAGCGUUAUCCGGAAUCACUGGGCGUAAAGGGUGCGUAGGCGGCUUAUCAAGCCAGGGGUGAAAGGCAUUGGCUCAACCAAUGUAAGCCUUUGGAACUGAUAGGCUUGAGUGCAGGAGAGGUAAGUGGAAUUCCUAGUGUAGAGGUGAAAUUCGUAGAUAUUAGGAGGAACACCAGUGGCGAAGGCGACUUACUGGACUGUAACUGACGCUGAGGCACGAAAGCGUGGGUAGCGAACAGGAUUAGAUACCCUGGUAGUCCACGCCGUAAACGAUGAGUACUAGGUGUUGCGGGUAUUGACCCCUGCAGUGCCGCAGCUAACGCAUUAAGUACUCCGCCUGGGAAGUACGGUCGCAAGACUAAAACUCAAAUGAAUUGACGG
Molecule: ribosomal RNA, 412 nt
Filed under: uncultured bacterium
Lineage: Bacteria
Description: bacterial SSU rRNA
Rfam family: Bacterial small subunit ribosomal RNA
Source: RNAcentral